Molecule: ribosomal RNA, 253 nt
Filed under: uncultured bacterium
Lineage: Bacteria
Description: partial 16S ribosomal RNA
Rfam family: Bacterial small subunit ribosomal RNA
Source: RNAcentral
GACAGAGGUGGCAAGCGUUGUUCGGAAUCAUUGGGCUUAAAGAGCACGUAGGCGGUCCUUCAAGUGUCUUGUGAAAUCCCUCGGCUCAACCGAGGAAUUGCUGGGCAUACUGUGGGACUUGAGGCAGGUAUGGGCGAGUGGAACUCUUGGUGGAGCGGUGGAAUGCGUAGAUAUCAAGAGGAACGCCGGUGGUGAAGACGACUCGCUGGGCCUGUCCUGACGCUGAUGUGCGAAAGCCAGGGGAGCAAACGGG